Long non-coding RNA from Oncorhynchus tshawytscha (Chinook salmon), 917 nucleotides. Lineage: Eukaryota; Metazoa; Chordata; Actinopteri; Salmoniformes; Salmonidae. The record is from Ensembl.
AAAUGAUCAGAAUGAUGUGUUCUCUAAUUUUUGUCAGGAAGUAGCUAGCAAACUAGCCAAUUUAAGACAGUUAACUUGGGUGCUUGACUGCCGUUGUGUGGUCAGAACGCUCGGAUCAACUCCGUUAGAGCGUCCAGUCUGCGCUCUGAACGCUCCUGGAGCGAAUCGCUCUGAAUUUAUGAACAGACAAUCUGACGAUUCUGAAUUUACGAACGACAGGAGCGCACUCGAGAGGGAUUUUACGAACACACUCUUAGUCUAUCUUCAUAAUUUAAUGUCUUUGGUUAGAUCAUACGUGGUGCCACCACAUUUCCAAACUGUCUACGAGCGGCAUCUACCGGAUUUAUACCGUGCAUGCAUAAAUAAUGGCUUCCAUGCAAUGUUGUAUGGGAGAGGGCGCAAAAGAGCGAUCCUGUUUAUUCUGACUCGCUUGCUAACACACAAAACCAAUGACAAACAGAGGCUCUGCUGUUAAUACGGUCCAAAAUUAUCCAUCAACCCGGAUGUAGAAUUUUUAGGAUUCUCUUCCCCUCAUUUUAUUUGACAUAUGCUAUUGUUGCUAACUGCGUCAAAAAUAGAACAUGUUCUAGACCGGGCUAGACAGUGUCGGGUAAACUGUGACAGCUGACUGCACUGGUAGCCACGCCUACUGAAGAGAGCGAACGGAUUCUUGGCAGCCAACUAACUAAAAGAUAACUCAGAGGACCUAUCAUCUGUCAAAGUGACAUCUAAAAUGAACUUCUGCGGAAGAAAAUAUAAGCGGGGCAGCAACUGGUCUUAACCAGAGGUGGCAGAACUCCUCCGGCAGUAGUCAGAUGAGUCGGUCCAACUAGAGCUGGAGAGUUUCCUCAGAAAUCAACAUGUUUUCAACCGAAUAGCGGAUGUCCUGCGAGAGAAAGGCAUCUAUCACACCGGCG